GUCUACGGCCAUACCACCCUGAACGCGCCCGAUCUCGUCUGAUCUCGGAAGCUAAGCAGGGUCGGGCCUGGUUAGUACUUGGAUGGGAGAUU
This 92-nucleotide ribosomal RNA is filed under the name Mustela putorius furo (domestic ferret). The record is from RNAcentral. Lineage: Eukaryota; Metazoa; Chordata; Mammalia; Carnivora; Mustelidae.